RNAcentral lists this ribosomal RNA (99 nucleotides) under Escherichia coli. RNAcentral's name for it is "partial 16S ribosomal RNA". It matches the Rfam family "Bacterial small subunit ribosomal RNA", at positions 1 to 96 of the family's 1533-position model. The record is from RNAcentral. Lineage: Bacteria; Pseudomonadati; Pseudomonadota; Gammaproteobacteria; Enterobacterales; Enterobacteriaceae. RNAcentral also lists the same sequence under 2 other names.
AAAUUGAAGAGUUUGAUCAUGGCUCAGAUUGAACGCUGGCGGCAGGCCUAACACAUGCAAGUCGAACGGUAACAGGAAGAAGCUUGCUUCUUUGCUGAC